AGGACGAACGCUGGCGGCGUGCUUAACACAUGCAAGUCGAGCGGUAAGGCCUUUCGGGGUACACGAGCGGCGAACGGGUGAGUAACACGUGGGUGAUCUGCCCUGCACUUCGGGAUAAGCCUGGGAAACUGGGUCUAAUACCGGAUAUGACCUCAGGUUGCAUGACUUGGGGUGGAAAGAUUUAUCGGUGCAGGAUGGGGCCCGCGGCCUAUCAGCUUGUUGGUGGGGUAAUGGCCUACCAAGGCGACGACGGGUAGCCGACCUGAGAGGGUGACCGGCCACACUGGGACUGAGACACGGCCCAGACUCCUACGGGAGGCGGCAGUGGGGGAAUAUUGCACAAUGGGCGAAAGCCUGAUGCAGCGACGCCGCGUGAGGAUGACGGCUUCGGGUUGUAAACCUCUUUCAGCAGGACGAAGCGCAAGUGACGGUACCUGCAGAAGAAGCACGCUAACACGUGCCAGCAGCCGC
Molecule: ribosomal RNA, 471 nt
Filed under: uncultured soil bacterium
Lineage: Bacteria
Description: bacterial SSU rRNA
Rfam family: Bacterial small subunit ribosomal RNA
Source: RNAcentral